This 253-nucleotide ribosomal RNA is filed under the name uncultured bacterium. Its description in RNAcentral is "partial 16S ribosomal RNA". It matches the Rfam family "Bacterial small subunit ribosomal RNA", at positions 524 to 776 of the family's 1533-position model. The record is from RNAcentral.
UACGUAGGGGGCGAGCGUUGUUCGGAUUCACUGGGCGUAAAGGGUGCGUAGGUGGCGAGGUAAGUCGGAUGUGAAAGCUCGGAGCUCAACUCCGAAAUGGCAUUGGAAACUACCUUGCUCGAGGGUUGGAGGGGGGACUGGAAUUCUCGGUGUAGCAGUGAAAUGCGUAGAUAUCGAGAGGAACACCAGUGGCGAAGGCGAGUCCCUGGACAACUCCUGACACUGAGGCACGAAAGCUAGGGGAGCAAACAGG